AGGCAGUUAGUUUAAGUAAAACAUUUGAUUUCGGCUCAAAAGCCCGUGGUUCAACUCCACAACUGCCCG
RNAcentral lists this transfer RNA (69 nucleotides) under Lampris guttatus (North Atlantic opah). Its description in RNAcentral is "tRNA-Arg". It matches the Rfam family "tRNA". From Rfam's summary of the family: Transfer RNA (tRNA) molecules are approximately 80 nucleotides in length. Their secondary structure includes four short double-helical elements and three loops (D, anti-codon, and T loops). The record is from RNAcentral. Lineage: Eukaryota; Metazoa; Chordata; Actinopteri; Lampriformes; Lampridae.